RNAcentral lists this ribosomal RNA (226 nucleotides) under uncultured bacterium. RNAcentral describes it as "partial 16S ribosomal RNA". It matches the Rfam family "Bacterial small subunit ribosomal RNA", at positions 524 to 746 of the family's 1533-position model. The record is from RNAcentral.
UACGUAGGGUGCGAGCGUUGUCCGGAAUUAUUGGGCGUAAAGAGCUCGUAGGCGGUGUGUCGCGUCGGUCGUGAAAACUUGGGGCUUAACUCUGAGCUUGCGGUCGAUACGGGCAUCACUGGAGUUCGGCAGGGGAGACUGGAAUUCCUGGUGUAGCGGUGAAAUGCGCAGAUAUCAGGAGGAACACCGGUGGGCGAAGGCGGGUCUCUGGGCCGAAUACUGACGC